This 393-nucleotide ribosomal RNA is filed under the name uncultured Alphaproteobacteria bacterium. RNAcentral's name for it is "bacterial SSU rRNA". It matches the Rfam family "Bacterial small subunit ribosomal RNA", at positions 975 to 1368 of the family's 1533-position model. The record is from RNAcentral. Lineage: Bacteria; Pseudomonadati; Pseudomonadota; Alphaproteobacteria.
CAGCGUUUGACAUGGUAGGACGGUUUCCAGAGAUGGAUUCCUUCCCUUACGGGACCUACACACAGGUGCUGCAUGGCUGUCGUCAGCUCGUGUCGUGAGAUGUUGGGUUAAGUCCCGCAACGAGCGCAACCCUCGUCUUUAGUUGCUACCAUUUAGUUGAGCACUCUAAAGAAACUGCCGGUGAUAAGCCGGAGGAAGGUGGGGAUGACGUCAAGUCCUCAUGGCCCUUACAUCCUGGGCUACACACGUGUUACAAUGGCGGUGACAAUGAGUCGCGACCCCGCGAGGGAUAGCCAAUCUCAAAAAGCCGCCUCAGUUUGGAUUGUACUCUGCAACUCGAGUACAUGAAAUUGGAAUCGCUAGUAAUCGUAGAUCAGCACGCUACGGUGAAUA